UACGUAGGGCGCGAGCGUGUCCGGAAUUAUUGGGCGUAAAGAGCUCGUAGGCGGCCUGUUGCGUCCGCUGUGAAAUCCCAGGGCUCAACCCCUGGGCGUGCAGUGGAUACGGGCAGGCUGGAGGCAGGCAGGGGGAGAACGGAAUUCCUGGUGUAGCGGUGGAAUGCGCAGAUAUCAGGAGGAACACCGGUGGCGAAGGCGGUUCUCUGGGCAUUACCUGACGCUGAGGAGCGAAAGCAUGGGGGAGCGAACAGG
RNAcentral lists this ribosomal RNA (255 nucleotides) under uncultured bacterium. RNAcentral describes it as "partial 16S ribosomal RNA". It matches the Rfam family "Bacterial small subunit ribosomal RNA", at positions 524 to 776 of the family's 1533-position model. The record is from RNAcentral.